Molecule: ribosomal RNA, 480 nt
Filed under: uncultured bacterium
Lineage: Bacteria
Description: partial 16S ribosomal RNA
Rfam family: Bacterial small subunit ribosomal RNA
Source: RNAcentral
GAUGAACGCUGGCGGCGUGCCUAACACAUGCAAGUCGAACGAUGAAACCGCCCUCGGGCGGACAUGAAGUGGCGAACGGGUGAGUAACACGUGACCGACCUGCCCCCCGCCCAGGGACAGCCCCCCGAACGGGGGAUUAAUACCUGGUACUCCGGAAGCGGCGCAUGCCGCCCCCGGGAAAGCUCUGGCGGCGGGGGAUGGGGUCGCGGCCCAUCAGGUAGACGGCGGGGUAGGAGCCCACCGUGCCGACGACGGGUAGCCGGGUUGAGAGACCGACCGGCCACAUUGGGACUGAGAUACGGCCCAGACUCCUACGGGAGGCAGCAGUGGGGAAUUUUGCGCAAUGGGGGCAACCCUGACGCAGCAACGCCGCGUGCGGGACGAAGGCGUCCGCGUCGUAAACCGCUUUCAGCGGGGAACACUUUUCGAGGGUACCCGCAGAAGAAGCCCCGGCUAAAUACGUGCCAGCAGCCGCAGUAA